RNAcentral lists this ribosomal RNA (558 nucleotides) under Saccharomyces cerevisiae (brewer's yeast). Its description in RNAcentral is "eukaryotic LSU rRNA". It matches the Rfam family "Eukaryotic large subunit ribosomal RNA", at positions 85 to 658 of the family's 3401-position model. Lineage: Eukaryota; Fungi; Ascomycota; Saccharomycetes; Saccharomycetales; Saccharomycetaceae. The record is from RNAcentral.
UACGGCGAGUGAGCGGCAAAAGCUCAAAUUUGAAAUCUGGUACCUUCGGUGCCCGAGUUGUAAUUUGGAGAGGGCAACUUUGGGGCCGUUCCUUGUCUAUGUUCCUUGGAACAGGACGUCAUAGAGGGUGAGAAUCCCGUGUGGCGAGGAGUGCGGUUCUUUGUAAAGUGCCUUCGAAGAGUCGAGUUGUUUGGGAAUGCAGCUCUAAGUGGGUGGUAAAUUCCAUCUAAAGCUAAAUAUUGGCGAGAGACCGAUAGCGAACAAGUACAGUGAUGGAAAGAUGAAAAGAACUUUGAAAAGAGAGUGAAAAAGUACGUGAAAUUGUUGAAAGGGAAGGGCAUUUGAUCAGACAUGGUGUUUUGUGCCCUCUGCUCCUUGUGGGUAGGGGAAUCUCGCAUUUCACUGGGCCAGCAUCAGUUUUGGUGGCAGGAUAAAUCCAUAGGAAUGUAGCUUGCCUCGGUAAGUAUUAUAGCCUGUGGGAAUACUGCCAGCUGGGACUGAGGACUGCGACGUAAGUCAAGGAUGCUGGCAUAAUGGUUAUAUGCCGCCCGUCUUGAA